CACAGGGAAGAGAAGCUCACGUACCCCACGCCGGCAUCUCUGUCACCUCGCCAGGCCCUCUGAGCACUUCAUUCAUAGUUGGGAGGAGUGUAACCUACACGUCAGCAUAGACUGUCCUACCUUAGAAAGAAGAGCAUCUGUGCCAACUCACCACGCCAUACUUCCCAUUCUCUCCCCUCCACCCAGUUCUGUUACAUGAAUACUACAAAACGCCGGGCUCUACAAUGACUCGACAUCUUCCUGCAGAAAUACAAGCAAGCACCGGACUCGGGCCGAUGCGCCACCU
Perognathus longimembris pacificus (Pacific pocket mouse) is the source of this 286-nucleotide long non-coding RNA. RefSeq lists it as uncharacterized. Lineage: Eukaryota; Metazoa; Chordata; Mammalia; Rodentia; Heteromyidae. The record is from RefSeq and is a predicted model, not a curated record. The transcript has 3 exons.